ACACCUCAACUCUCAUGGUCUUCCAUGACGAGCUUGGACUUUGGAGGUUUGCUGGCCCUGCGGCCGGCUCCUCUCAAACAAAUCAGCUUGCCAGUGUUUGGCGGCAUCUCACGGGUGUGAUAACUAUCUACGCUCGCGGUUGUCUGCCAGGUAACCCUCAGCGAUGAAGGUUCAUUGGGGCUCAUAAACGUCUCUCCUCGGCGAGGACAGCUUUUGAAC
Molecule: unclassified non-coding RNA, 219 nt
Filed under: uncultured Tomentella
Lineage: Eukaryota; Fungi; Basidiomycota; Agaricomycetes; Thelephorales; Thelephoraceae
Description: sequence contains ITS2
Source: RNAcentral